UACGGAGGGGGCUAGUGUUGUUCGGAAUUACUGGGCGUAAAGCGCACGUAGGCGGCUUUGUAAGUUAGAGGUGAAAGCCCGGGGCUCAACUCCGGAAUUGCCUUUAAGACUGCAUCGCUAGAAUUGUGGAGAGGUAAGUGGAAUUCCGAGUGUAGAGGUGAAAUUCGUAGAUAUUCGGAAGAACACCAGUGGCGAAGGCGGCCGAC
This 206-nucleotide ribosomal RNA is filed under the name uncultured bacterium. RNAcentral's name for it is "partial 16S ribosomal RNA". It matches the Rfam family "Bacterial small subunit ribosomal RNA", at positions 524 to 729 of the family's 1533-position model. The record is from RNAcentral.